Molecule: ribosomal RNA, 286 nt
Filed under: uncultured prokaryote
Description: partial 16S ribosomal RNA
Rfam family: Bacterial small subunit ribosomal RNA
Source: RNAcentral
UCGAGAAUAGUCUACAAUGGACGAAAGUCUGAUAGUGCGACGCCGCGUGAACGAAGAGACCUUUCGGGGUGUAAAGUUCUUUUCUGUGCGAGCAGGGGUGGUUACAGUAAUAUGGUGAUCAUCUUGAUAUUAGUACAGGAAUAAGCCACGGCUAACUCCGUGCCAGCAGCCGCGGUAACAAGGGGGUGGCAAGCGUUGUCCGGAAUUACUAGGCGUAAAGGGCAGGUAGGCGGAUCAGUAAGUCGGACGUUUAAUCCUCGGUCGUAAGCUGAGACAUGCGUUUGAU